GGACUUAGUAAGAGAUGACUUUCCACAGCCAUCCAGCAUGGCACCCAGUGUGCAUGAAGUGCAUCCUGAAUCCAUGCAGCUGCUCUUCCAGAGGAUCUCUGCCUGCUCAUAACUGAAAUCCAAUCAUCAGGAAUUCCAGUGCAGCAGGAUGUUAGAGAAAAUAAACAACAGUCUCCUGAGAGGUUCUACCACUGCUUGACAAAUACAGAGGUUCAAUUCCACCAAACAUUGGUGAAUGAUGGCCCAAUCAGCCUGUACUUCCUUGCUCUCCUGCUGCAAUGUCAUCAACUUCUUCUUUAUAAGAUUCUCCUCCAUCAGGAGCCGGCUGUGCAGGUUACUGUAAGGACACUCUGCAUGAUGUGGCUCAAAGGGAAGAUGUGAGGACACCUUGGGUUCCUCUGAAUGGACAGAGUGAUAUGAAAUGGGCACUGACCAGGCUGAGAAACACUGCUGAGGCCCAUAUUCCAGAAUGCUACAAGAGCGUGCUAGCUCCCAGAAUGAUUCAUGUGACA
This 512-nucleotide long non-coding RNA is filed under the name Mus musculus (house mouse). Its description in RNAcentral is "predicted gene, 30613". The record is from RNAcentral. Lineage: Eukaryota; Metazoa; Chordata; Mammalia; Rodentia; Muridae.